CAUUCAUGGCAGCAACUUCACUUCGGAGCCUUUUCGCGCUUUCGGUUCACUUCGAAACCCUCCAACUUCUUCCAAUACAAGCCAACUAAUAUUCCUAAGCUUCCAAAUUAAUCCGGGAACAUUCCAAACUACAUUCUUGCAUUAUCAUGAUCAAUUUGCUCAAACUAUCCAAUACAAAUCCUGCACCUGGCAGCACUUUACUCCGAGCUUCUUUUUGCGCUACCACUUCGCACCAAACACUUCAAAACCCUUCUAA
Molecule: long non-coding RNA, 256 nt
Filed under: Ananas comosus (pineapple)
Lineage: Eukaryota; Viridiplantae; Streptophyta; Magnoliopsida; Poales; Bromeliaceae
Description: long non-coding RNA (ACOM_LNC035298)
Source: RNAcentral